CAUAUCUUAAUUGACUGGAUUUACUGCUAGAUAAAAACGUUCAGAUUUUUAAGACCGUUCAGGCGCCGUCCCGAUCGAUAGUCUCAUCAGGUAAAUCAGUCCGUUAAGGCAUGUCAAGAUUGUCAAGACUGAAUCUUCUAGCGAGCUGUUUAGACCCGUUAAGACCGUGUCAGACCAAUUAAGAUCAAAUCUAAAAAUUAACAUCCAAAAUUGUCAGACCAUGUAUAGAUCCGUUCAGUAUGCCGGUAUGAUACCACGAGUUACGCCCCUUCUGCUGGAUUAGUGCAUUUUAGAUUAAUUAUAUAUUUAUUUGAAGUUAAAGUAUU
Molecule: long non-coding RNA, 326 nt
Filed under: Mytilus galloprovincialis (Mediterranean mussel)
Lineage: Eukaryota; Metazoa; Mollusca; Bivalvia; Mytilida; Mytilidae
Source: RNAcentral